This 132-nucleotide ribosomal RNA is filed under the name Triticum aestivum (bread wheat). RNAcentral describes it as "partial small subunit ribosomal RNA". The record is from RNAcentral. Lineage: Eukaryota; Viridiplantae; Streptophyta; Magnoliopsida; Poales; Poaceae.
AUGGAUGGUGUGAGUUCAUUAAAUGCUCGACAAGCCGCCAGAUUAGCGGCACACAAAUCAUGUUCACCAACUGAGUUUGUUCAAUGGUUGUAUCAUAAUUGGUUAAUGAAAAAAAAAACGGGCUGGGACUAA